CCAUGGCAAAUGGCUAAUUUAAACUGAUCUGAAAAGCCAUUUAAAUGAAGCACUUCCUGAGAAGCUUGGCUAAUAUGUUUUCGGUAUGCUUCGUGCUUGAUUAUUCCCCAGAUCUUCGUGGGGUUACGUUACAUUUAUUAAUAGCUUUCUCUGCAAAUCUAGCGCCAAUAGUCUGUAGUCUUGGGAGGAUAGGUCUGCAACUGAAAAAUGAGACGAUCAAAUUAGUGUUUAACAGUGAUGCGGUUUUAAGGGCUUAUUGCACUUACGGGAAUUUGUAGCAAAGAUUCAUGGGACCAGUUAUUGGGUGCAAUCAGCAGCCAUCAGAAGCAGAAAGAACAGGCACAAUUUAACCAUGGCAAGGGCCACUGUAAACUGAUCUGAAAGACCAUAUGAAUCAAUAACUUUUUGAGAUGCUUGGCUAAUAUGAUAUCGGGAUGCUUCAUGCUUGACUCUUGUUCCAGUUGCCCCACAGCUAACAGGGAAACUGUGUCAGGUAUUUUAUAGGUACUUAUAUAGCUACGCUAAUAUGUAUAUUAAUUUUUAUCGAUUUUAUUUUCAUUUAUUUAUUUAUUUAUCAUCCAAUAAAUAAUUGUAUCCGUUUCGUGGCGACUAAAGAGAGACGAAAUAAAUAGUUUACGAUACCAUG
Long non-coding RNA from Drosophila obscura, 646 nucleotides. RefSeq lists it as uncharacterized. Lineage: Eukaryota; Metazoa; Arthropoda; Insecta; Diptera; Drosophilidae. The record is from RefSeq and is a predicted model, not a curated record. The transcript has 2 exons.